AUCCAGACAACGAGUCCCAAAUAGGACGAAACGCGCGUCCUGGAU
Non-coding RNA from Schistosoma margrebowiei, 45 nucleotides. Lineage: Eukaryota; Metazoa; Platyhelminthes; Trematoda; Strigeidida; Schistosomatidae. The record is from Rfam.